CUUCUAUCUUCAGUUGUUUUGGUCCUGUUGUUCGUUAACAAAAGAACAUACAACGAACAACAGGACUAAAACAACUGAAGAUAGAA
Pelobates cultripes (western spadefoot toad) is the source of this 86-nucleotide non-coding RNA. NCBI's taxonomy places the organism in Eukaryota, Metazoa, Chordata, Amphibia, Anura, Pelobatidae. The record is from the annotation of a GenBank genome assembly.